CGUUGCCGUCUGUAACCAAGAGUCAACCAAGAAUUGACCAAUCGGCGUCUCAGUAUGCCGGGUAUACUCGGAGCGGAUGCCGGCUCGUGAGAGAGUCACUUUUUCCAACUCUGCGAAAACGGAACCAUGGUGCAGAAAACGGGCUGACGGCAGUCUGAACCUUACACACACAGUGGAAGCUACGAAGGUGAAGCAAAGAACAAAGGCAGACCGGGGAUGCGACCUCUGUCUCCAGAGGAAGUGAUGGAUAAGGCCAGAAGAGCCAUAACCAGCAACAUGGAGAUCCAUCCGUCAGAGGACACCUGCGGGGUUUCUUCAGAUUGUGGCACCAGGUGUGGAGAGCACUAAAAGGUUGGGGCUCACAGUCCCGCACAGUGGCCAGACUGCAACCGAGUGGUAGAGGCCAUCAUCACAAAGCUCUGUCAGUGUGUGCUGUGAUGGAGUGAGGGUCUCACGAUUCAAAUUGGUGACAUGUGCUUAUAAGCACAUCCGAGAGUGUGUGAUCACCAACGCCAAGUCGAUGACUGAGACCACCAUCCAGCUUCCAGAAGUCAGUGCUGCAACUGUCACACAAUGGUUCAGCAGGCGUUGCAGGUCUCAGGAACAUCAGAUCCUGAAGCAGGGUAUCCCAGCUCCUGACCCACCAAUGGCAGGACCUGAGAAGCUUCCUGUGGCCAUGCAGAAAGGGCCAUCUCUGUGUCCCGGCAGUGUGGCUCAGCCUCACAUCUUUGUUCUGCCACCGAACACUGCUGGUGAGGCGAAGCUCAAGAAGGGAUCGAGACCACUGGCCCUCUGCAGGUCCCACCACCACCUCCAUACUAUGGACGUCCCUUCCUUGCACCAGCACCACCAUUCUCAAUUCCCUAUAUGGUACCUUCUGUGCCUGGACCCUCACAGGUUGCGCCUGGAAGCUCACCGAUGGUGCUUCUCAACAUGCCUCCAGCUGCUACUCAGGCGCUAACAUCAGGUCAAACGGACAUACCGUACUCAACACAGCAGUACAGGAAAGAAAAGAAGAGAGGGAGCAAUCUGGAACGGGCAAAAGAAAGUAUGUCAAAAAGACGGACAGAAUCCUUUGUAAAACGUGCCAGGAAGAG
Molecule: long non-coding RNA, 1097 nt
Organism: Eleginops maclovinus (Patagonian blennie)
Lineage: Eukaryota; Metazoa; Chordata; Actinopteri; Perciformes; Eleginopidae
Exons: 4
Source: RefSeq, a predicted model, not a curated record